CAUAGUAACUAGAGGGAUGAAUCACUGGUCUGGUUAACGUCUUAUUCACACAUCUUACUCAUAUCGUAGACCUGAGGGUUGUGUCGAUGAUGAAAGAUAAUAUAUACCAGAGAGAAAGACAGACACGGACAAAUGAGAGCACGUGUCAGACUGAGAACAAGGCUACGUGAGGGAGGAUGCGUACAGUAGUGUAACUUGGGAAAUCCCUGCAGUGCAAGUGGGAAGGAACGCUCGUUGACCAACAUGAUUAGCACACGCACACUCUUGCAUUUCGUCAUCUCUGAUUGGCGUUUAUUUCCGCAUUGUAAAGCAAGAUUAGAUUCUAUAUUUUAGCAAGCUGGUCCUGCUCGAAGUGGUCCAAAAUGCAAAGGGAAGUUAAGUUCAAGAUAUCACCCAGAUAGUUUCACGAAAUUCUUGUUAUCAUAUCAUCAGCUUGUUUAGUUUUUUUUUUGUUGUUUUUUUUUACCUCCCAGAUGUCUAUAUGUAUCAUUCUUACACAUAGUAUCUAGAUAUCUAAUCUGUCUGACCAAGUUCAGGUCAUGCUCAUAAUUUGUUUAAAGUGUACCCAUGCUAAUGCUGCAUUGGAUCUGUUUUAGAAUAAAACAAAAUCAAAGUAUUUAGUAAUUGUAAGAGUGGGCAAAUUUUUGUAAUAUUUUAGCACAACCAUGGGGCCCACUCAGGACCAGAUGUGAAACUAUGGCGCCAUCUCCUGGACAAACCACCAAUCUUCCUGUUUAUGUUAGAUUUUAAAUCAAUACGAAUAAGUCCUGAAAUGUUGUGCAGGGGUACUUUAAAGGCAGUCCCUUGUGCCUUGUCCUUACAAGACUCUUUGCAACCGCUAUUUCUGUUGACUGUCAGCAUAGUUUGGGCAAUUAACUACAUGUAGUAUACAGUAGGUUUUAGGAUGGUGUUCAGGAGGACCUCUGUUUAUUGUCAAAGUGGAACUCUAAUGUUUGUGGUGAUCGUUGCAGUGGAAACACUUUAUUUUAUCCGUGAAAAAUUCUGGAAAGUGUUCAGAUUGGCACAGACGAAGAAGUUGUUGCGAAAGCAGUUGAGGCAGUAAAUGUGGAACCUAUCAUUAUGUUUGUUGUGACCUCGCACUGGGACUCACUACUACGAAGAGGCCCUAUUGUAAUACUAAACAGCUCUGUACAAUGGUGAGGAGGCGAAAGGGCCAUAAAUGCAUCAAGCAGUGCAGGGAUGUGUGGAAAGGCAACAGGACAGUUGGUUAGUGGCAUACUGUAAAUGUUGGACUGGAUACAAUGUCUGGAGCCACUGGGACAGAUGUGGAUGUGUCCCAUGGUUGCACAGGGUGCUGUUAGGUUAGAACAAGCACCUUGUCCAUUGCCUUUAACCUUUGAAGAACCAUUUGCUCUCGGACCAAACAAUGUAUGCUUGGUAACUAUUUUCCUUGAUUAAAGUUCCACAGAUAGUUGAAAUUCAAAAGGCAUCUUCAUUGCAUACCACGCUGGACAGGCAGCAUCCUGGUGUAAAUAUUAUAGCAGGGUGAGGAUUUGAAGACAUUUCAAGGUCCACCGUCUAUUUUUCAUAAUAUUCCCUAUUUUGGCCUGGUCCCUAAACCUUAUUUCAAAAUUACAACAUAAUGACUGGUACUGUGACAUGGUCCAGUAGGAUGAAACAGAAGAGUUGUCCAACUUGAGGGUCAUUUACAGUUUUUCACAAUUAGUAACACACAAUUCUCAAUACUGAGUUCACUUCUUCAAAACAAUUGUGGCCCAAACUGUGGAUCACUUUUCAUUGCUUUUACACAAAAUACAGAAAUGUGACUUAGCAAUUGUAAAAAACUGUAACAGAAUCUUGUUUUAUGCUAAAUAAAUAAAUAAAUAAAAGAUAAUUCAGAGACAAUAGUGUUACAUAUUGUAAUGCUACCUGUUAGAGGGGUUUUUUUUUUGGGUCAUUGUGUUAUGAGUGACAAAGGGUUACUGUUGGCAGACAAAUGUUGUCAGUGGUCGGUUACAAGAGGUGAUUCUGAGAUGUGUGUCAAAAGUUUUGGUUCCAUUUGUGCAGUUUGGACGUGAGAUGUGUUGUGCUGAGCUGCAUGUCAGUAAAGAGAACCGUCUGAACAGUUUUGAAAAAGUGAACUCAGUAUAGUGAAAUGUGAGUUACCAAUUGUAAAAAACUUUACACUACCCAUACAAUUUCUUUUUUGUGCAGCAGGGGGCGAACUUGCCUUUACAGUGUGAGGAUCAAUCGAGGGUCAGUGUUGGUGUCUAUUCACUUUCAGUUAAAUCUGAUAUGUUAAUGAAUGUUUCUACUAUAAGAACAAAUAUUAUAAUAAAUAAACAAUAAAUCAGUGUCUAAUGAAAGUGUUAAGUUUAUCAGUUAACCAAUCAAUAUCAGUUAAUCAAUAACUGCCAUAUUUCUUUCAAAUGUUAAUCAUCUGUCAUGUGUGCUUUGUUUGGGUUAUUAAGAACAACGUUGAGAAAAUCUGUGAAUUACUGCCAUGAAAAAGAAAGUAAUUUAAUGUUUGUCAGGGGAUCUAAAAACUUAAAAGACUUUCAACCUUAACAAAACAGACUCUAAACAGACAAUACACUACAAUAUACAAUGGGGAGUUACCAGGAAAUAAGAGAAGAAAAAGAGCUCAGUCUGCACUGACCAUAAUGAUUUGACUAUUCCAUUCUACCAACUGUUAGCAAAUAAGUUUUCAGUGUAUAGCUUUUUCUAUAUUUAUCUGUUAUGAGAUGAUAUGAGAAAAACAAUAUUUUUAGUGCAUUCUGUGGCUUUGUUUGCCAUUCAUAAAGUCUACCUUAUUUGUCUACCUUAUUUUUCAUUAUUUCGUUCCUCCACACACCACAGAUUAUGUCUUGGAAACGGAAAGCACCUGUGUAGCAGAACAAAGUGUUUAUUGAUAUUGAAACUUCCUUACAUAAACUGUCAGCUGAAAUGAGCCGCUAGCCAAAUGACAAAUCUUUCAUAUACACCUCCUACUUAACAGGAAAUUUAGGUCUUAGCGGAGGUGUGUGGGGGUGUGUGCAGAUGUGAACAUAUGAGAAUUCAGGCUUUCCCUCACACACAACAUUGGAAAAACAAACCAUUUGUCAUUAUAAUUCAAACUUUUAAAAUAAUUUCCACAUGCUCCAGUUAUGUCAUUGUUUUAACAGCCAGAGCAUUAUGCCUAAUUUUCACAUUUACAUUACUCCAUACACAUAUGAUUAUAUCUCGUAUAGUUUUUCUUCACAUUCUCAACCCACUGAAAGUGAUUUAAGACAACCCUAAUGCUGUGAGCUUGAACAGUUUAACACACUGAGCCCAUGGUACCAUUAAAACAACCUCCUGACCCCCUCAGGCAGAGAGCCUGUCUUCUCUGAUAAUAUUUUCAUAGGCUGUGAAUUAUAAGUGUUUAAAGGGGCACUAAUCGCAGAGUUACACUCAUGCCAAGAGCUGCUUAGCAUCAGUAAACCACAAAGUCUGGAUAGAGAGCCUAGAGGGCCAGGUUUUUAGCCAAAGUUAAAACAUUCAUUAUAACAAUUAUUUUUUAUGGCGUAUCUGCCUUUUAAGAAAGUAUACAGUGGAAAAUAAAAGGAAAGAUGGAAAGGAUAAGGGAUGAAAUACAGCAAAGCCAUCUUUAGUCCAUUUUAAACCCUUGACACCACUUAAACAUAGCAUGUGCCUGGGGCUGCAGCAUUUCCAGAAUUUUCCAAACUUUCUGGCUGAGCCCGACAAUGGUGGAGGGCAAUGGUAGCCAAACAAUGAGAGACUGCUUGAAGGUAAAGGUCCUGGCUUGAAUCCUGAGUAAAUCUGCUGGGGAAAAGUGAAUGAUUCUCCCCUCUGAACAGCUAACAUAAAGAUUCUCUUGAAGAAAGUGUUUUACCUCCAGUGUAUGGAAGAUUUUAAAUGCCUAAAUGAAAAUAAAUCAAACACGGAAAUAAAGUGAAGUACAAUACACACUGUUAUUUGUAUUUGCUUUUGUUUUUUAUGUAUGCAUUUACUUUGUCAUAAUUAAAUGACAAUGAUUUAGCCUUUUUUCAGUCUUUAAUAACUGAAUGAAUUGUUUUUCAUUGUGACGUGAAUUUUCCACGCCUCAUUAAAAUCACAACACAGAAAAUAAAGUGGUGUAUUGCAUUUCAGUGUUGUCCAGCAGAGAGCAGCAUAGACCUGCCAAUACUACAUGCAAAGCACUGUCUUUUUGAAGAGGAAGACACAUCAUCGACUCCAAAAUGAAAGACAAUCAAUGGCUCAGUCACAGCUUUGGGGGCUGGGUCAUGGACAGACCUUAUAGCGGACAUGAGCUGAUGCCUCGCCUUUCACAUUAAAACAUUAAAAUCUCUCAUUCCUUAUGAAGAUUUUAAAACAUAUUCAAGCAUUUUAAAGCACUAUAAUUCUUUUAAUUUAAUAGUGGAACUAAUGUCUAUUUUGUUCAGUCUGUGAAAUUCUCUGUGUUUGUCUAUAUUUAUACUGCAUAUUCUUGUGCACAAGUCUCUGGAAAAAGAUGUCUUGAUCUCAACAAAAUGUAAAGGCAAAAAAAUGUGUUUUAGUUGUCCAUGUUUUUACUGUAAUUAUUUUAAUUAAAUGAGUUUUGUGAUUGGUUAGGCUGUAUUUGUGUAUAUAGUACAUAUAUAGUAACAACAUGCAUACAAUUCUUUUGUCAUAUGUGAAAAAGAAAACAGCAGUGGCAGUAACAGUAGUAUUCAACUUCAGCAAUUAAACUGUUAAUGUUCACUCCCCUUUUUAAAAACUGCCUUUAAUGUUUGAUUUUAUAUCCUUUAUACCUAAUGCCUGCAUUGUGUAUAGUUUUUUUUUUAAUUGAAUUUGUACAUUAUAUAAUUCUUAUGUUUGUGAAAUGCUUUCCAGUAGUGUGGAGGCACCAUUAUAAUUACACAGUGAGCUGAGAGAAAGAUCAAUCAAUCUGUCCAUCCACCUGCAUUUCUACCUUCCUUCCUACCUACCUGUCUCUCUACUGUAUAUAUCUCUUCCACUUCCUCUCCAGCCUCUCCCAUUCCGCUGUGUUUUCUUUGGCCUGACACUGAGGGACUGGAAGUGUCACCUCAUCACAGCUCACUUUUGUUUCCCUUGGAGGCUGCAGUAGGAUGUCUGUUAAUCUGAUCUGAAAUCCUCAACCUGGAUUUGGCAGCUUCCUACAAACACUGCUGGCUCUGAAACGACUCUAUCAAGUCCUUCGUACAGUGAUGUCUAUCUGAGGGAUAAACUGCCUGUAAUAACUCUACAAUCAGCCUCAGCGGUGUGUGGGACUGUGCCAGUUUUUAACCUUUCCUUACUUUGGCUGGCUUUCGCUGUGGAAGCAAACAACGUAUUGUGCAAUAAACUGCUCUCAAAUUCCACUGAGCUGCCACAGCGAUGUAUUUGACAUUCUGGCAGUCUGAUUAAAAACACUUUAAUUUAUCAGUCAUAUACAGUGGGCAAAGAAUGUUUAUUCUAUAGUAGCUGCAUGACAGUAACUGAUUAGAUGCAGGUGUACAGUAUAAAAAAUCACAGCAGCAAGUCCACUCUCUACUGUCACACAACCGCAAUAUGUAUAUGUUUGAGCCAAAAAUUCUACUGUUCAUUCAAAUGCAUGGAGCUGAAAUAUCUCCACAUUUGCUGCCAAUUUAUUUUACUUUUUUUGAUUUGAUUUUGAAUUUGUUAUGUAAGAAUGUUAUACCAAGAGAUGAGGAUAGUGAUUCAAAUUGAGGUGAGCUGAGAUGACUGAUGUUAGCUGAACUUAAAGGGGUGCUCCACUGAUUUUACACAUCAAAGUCAGUUUACAGGUCUUGGAAAGUACCACUGCAUAUGUGAAUACAGUUGAAUAAAGCCCACACCUCAUCUCUGCUUGAGGCUAUAGCAGCUUGACGCUACAAUAGCUGCUACUAGGAUAACACACCCAAAUCUCCGACUGAACUGUCGGUGGUCAAGUUGCAUUGUGGGUAAUGUAGACGCCGGGUUUUGACAAGGAAGAAGAAUGGUUGUAAUAAAAAAGAUAUCUCUGGG
Long non-coding RNA from Siniperca chuatsi (mandarin fish), 5949 nucleotides. RefSeq lists it as uncharacterized. The record is from RefSeq and is a predicted model, not a curated record. NCBI's taxonomy places the organism in Eukaryota, Metazoa, Chordata, Actinopteri, Centrarchiformes, Sinipercidae. The transcript has 2 exons.